Molecule: ribosomal RNA, 424 nt
Filed under: uncultured Nitrosospira sp.
Lineage: Bacteria; Pseudomonadati; Pseudomonadota; Betaproteobacteria; Nitrosomonadales; Nitrosomonadaceae
Description: bacterial SSU rRNA
Rfam family: Bacterial small subunit ribosomal RNA
Source: RNAcentral
AAAGACCUUAUGCUUUUGGAUCGGCCGAUGUCUGAUUAGCUAGUAGGUGGGGUAAAUGCUUACCAAGGCGACGAUCAGUAGUUGGUCUGGGAGGACGACCAGCCACACUGGGACUGAGACACGGCCCAGACUCCUACGGGAGGCAGCCGCGGGGAAGUUUUGACAAUGGGCGCAAGCCUGAUACAGCAAUGCCGUGUGAGUGAAGAAGGCCUUCGGGUUGUAAAGCUCUUUCAGUCGAGAAGAAAAGGUUGUGACUAAUACUCACAACUCAUGACGGUAUCGACAGAAGAAGCACCGGCUAACUACGUCCCAGCAGCCGCGGUAAUACGUAGGGUGCGAGCGUUAAUCGGAAUUACUGGGCGUAAGGGGUGCGCAGGCGGCUCCGUAAGUCAGAUGUGAAAUCCCCGGGCUUAACCCGGGAAUU